Long non-coding RNA from Telopea speciosissima, 394 nucleotides. RefSeq lists it as uncharacterized. The record is from RefSeq and is a predicted model, not a curated record. The transcript is spliced from 2 exons. NCBI's taxonomy places the organism in Eukaryota, Viridiplantae, Streptophyta, Magnoliopsida, Proteales, Proteaceae.
GAGAGAAAGAGAAAGAUGGAAAAGGAAGUGAAGUAAUAAGAGAUUAUAUAUUACAAGCUCAAAAUAAUAUUGAUUGAUACUCAAACAGUAAAAGCAAGAUAAUUCAAUCCAAAAUUAAUGUGCUUGUGGGAGAGAUGCAUGUAAUGAUGAAGAAUAAUAAACCAUGAGGUACAGCAUGGAUAUGGAUCAUAUUGGCCACAGAACUAAAUCUUUGGUUUCAUGAAAUUAAAUGAUAUUAUAUUGCUUCAAGCAUUGGAGAGAAACAAAAACUUGCUUCAUUCCAAUUAACUUAACAUUACAUUAUCCAAUUUAAUUUUUAAUUUUGUUAUUAAAACAAAAACACAAGAAGAUAGUUUCAAGGAUCUUUUGUGGAUUACUAUGUUAUGUCAGUUCU